RNAcentral lists this ribosomal RNA (435 nucleotides) under uncultured Lachnospiraceae bacterium. RNAcentral's name for it is "partial 16S ribosomal RNA". It matches the Rfam family "Bacterial small subunit ribosomal RNA", at positions 341 to 792 of the family's 1533-position model. The record is from RNAcentral. Lineage: Bacteria; Bacillati; Bacillota; Clostridia; Lachnospirales; Lachnospiraceae.
ACGGGAGGCAGCAGUGGGGAAUAUUGCACAAUGGGGGGAAACCCUGAUGCAGCGACGCCGCGUGAGUGAAGAAGUAUUUCGGUAUGUAAAGCUCUAUCAGCAGGGAAGAAAAUGACGGUACCUGACUAAGAAGCCCCGGCUAACUACGUGCCAGCAGCCGCGGUAAUACGUGGGGGGCAAGCGUUAUCCGGAUUUACUGGGUGUAAAGGGAGCGUAGACGGCGAUGCAAGUCUGAUGUGAAAGCCCGGGGCUCAACCCCGGCACUGCAUUGGAAACUGUGUUGCUAGAGUGCAGGAGAGGUAAGUGGAAUUCCUAGUGUAGCGGUGAAAUGCGUAGAUAUUAGGAGGAACACCAGAGGCGAAGGCGGCUUACUGGACUGUAACUGACGUUGAGGCUCGAAAGCGUGGGGAGCAAACAGGAUUAGAUACCCUGGUA